AACGAACGCUGGCGGCAUGCCUAACACAUGCAAGUCGAACGAGACCUUCGGGUCUAGUGGCGCACGGGUGCGUAACGCGUGGGAAUCUGCCCUUGGGUUCGGAAUAACAGUUGGAAACGACUGCUAAUACCGGAUGAUGACGUAAGUCCAAAGAUUUAUCGCCCAAGGAUGAGCCCGCGUAGGAUUAGCUAGUUGGUGAGGUAAAGGCUCACCAAGGCGACGAUCCUUAGCUGGUCUGAGAGGAUGAUCAGCCACACUGGGACUGAGACACGGCCCAGACUCCUACGGGAGGCAGCAGUGGGGAAUAUUGGACAAUGGGCGAAAGCCUGAUCCAGCAAUGCCGCGUAAGUGAUGAAGGCCUUAGGGUUGUAAAGCUCUUUUACCCGGGAUGAUAAUGACAGUACCGGGAGAAUAAGCUCCGGCUAACUCCGUG
RNAcentral lists this ribosomal RNA (433 nucleotides) under uncultured bacterium. RNAcentral's name for it is "partial 16S ribosomal RNA". It matches the Rfam family "Bacterial small subunit ribosomal RNA", at positions 29 to 507 of the family's 1533-position model. The record is from RNAcentral.